Molecule: ribosomal RNA, 465 nt
Filed under: uncultured bacterium
Lineage: Bacteria
Description: partial 16S ribosomal RNA
Rfam family: Bacterial small subunit ribosomal RNA
Source: RNAcentral
GACGAACGCUGGCGGCGUGCUUAACACAUGCAAGUCGAACGGAAAGGCCCCUUCGGGGGUACUCAAGUGGCGAACAGGUGAGUAACACGUGAGUAACCUGCCCUUGACUUCGGGAUAACUUCAGGAAACUGGGGCUAAUACCGGAUAGGAAUCCUUGCUGCAUGGUGGGGGUUGGAAAGCUUCGGCGGUUUUGGAUGGACUCGCGGCUUAUCAGCUUGUUGGUGGGGUAGUGGCUUACCAAGGCUUUGACGGGUAGCCGGCCUGAGAGGGCGACCGGCCACAUUGGGACUGAGAUACGGCCCAGACUCCUACGGGAGGCAGCAGUGGGGAAUAUUGCACAAUGGGCGGAAGCCUGAUGCAGCAACGCCGCGUGCGGGAUGACGGCCUUCGGGUUGGAAACCGCUUUCAGCAGGGGCGAAGCUUGUGGUGACGGUACCUGCAGAAGAAGCACCGGCUAACUACGUG